RNAcentral lists this ribosomal RNA (494 nucleotides) under uncultured bacterium. Its description in RNAcentral is "partial 16S ribosomal RNA". It matches the Rfam family "Bacterial small subunit ribosomal RNA", at positions 28 to 507 of the family's 1533-position model. The record is from RNAcentral.
GAUGAACGCUGGCGGCGUGCUUAACACAUGCAAGUCGAACGGAAAGGCCUGCUUUCUCUUGUGGAUUGCGGGUACUCGAGUGGCGAACGGGUGAGUAACACGUGAGUGAUCUGCCCCCAACUUGGGUAUAAGCCUGGGAAAUUGGGUCUAAUUCUCGAUAGGACUGCAGGGUGGUGCCUGUGGUGGCAAACGAUUUUCUAGUGGUUGGGGAUGAGCUCGCGGCCUAUCAGCUUGUUGGUGGGGUAAUGGCCUACCAAGGCGGCGACGGGUAGCCGGCCUGAGAGGGUGGACGGCCACAUUGAGACUGGGAUACGGCCCAGACUCCUACGGGAGGCAGCAGUGGGGAAUAUUGCACAAUGGGCGGGAGCCUGAUGCAGCGACGCCGCGUGGGAGAUGACGGCCUUCGGGUUGUAAACUCCUUUCGACCGCGAGGAAGCCACCUGGUUGGAAGGGUGGUGACGGUAGUGGUAGAAGAAGCACCGGCUAACUACGUG